Molecule: ribosomal RNA, 460 nt
Filed under: uncultured bacterium
Lineage: Bacteria
Description: partial 16S ribosomal RNA
Rfam family: Bacterial small subunit ribosomal RNA
Source: RNAcentral
CCUACGGGAGGCUGCAGUGAGGAAUAUUGGUCAAUGGACGAGAGUCUGAACCAGCCAAGUAGCGUGAAGGAUGACUGCCCUAUGGGUUGUAAACUUCUUUUAUAUGGGAAUAAAAUGUUCCACGUGUGGGAUUUUGUAUGUACCAUAUGAAUAAGGAUCGGCUAACUCCGUGCCAGCAGCCGCGGUAAUACGGAGGAUCCGAGCGUUAUCCGGAUUUAUUGGGUUUAAAGGGAGCGUAGGUGGAUUGUUAAGUCAGUUGUGAAAGUUUGCGGCUCAACCGUAAAAUUGCAGUUGAAACUGGCAGUCUUGAGUACAGUAGAGGUGGGCGGAAUUCGUGGUGUAGCGGUGAAAGGCUUAGAUAUCACGAAGAACUCCGAUUGCGAAGGCAGCUCACUGGACUGCAACUGACACUGAGGCUCGAAAGUGUGGGUAUCAAACAGGAUUAGAUACCCCAGUAGUC